Molecule: small nucleolar RNA, 107 nt
Filed under: Glycine max (soybean)
Lineage: Eukaryota; Viridiplantae; Streptophyta; Magnoliopsida; Fabales; Fabaceae
Description: Plant small nucleolar RNA R71
Rfam family: Plant small nucleolar RNA R71
About the family: R71 is a member of the C/D box family of snoRNAs containing the C (UGAUGA) and D (CUGA) box motifs. Multiple nearly identical copies of this snoRNA have been identified in Arabidopsis, and it is thought to function as a 2'-O-ribose methylation guide for 18S ribosomal RNA.
Source: Rfam by way of RNAcentral
UACCCAUGGUGUGGAAAACUCUUAUGUAGUCCUUUGAAUCACUCCAAGGCUUUAGAUAAGGAUUCUUCCUCAUAUUGAGCAAAAUUCCCAAUUUCUCUUAUUAGCUU